CUUCCUUCCCUUCCAAGUGUGGCUUAACCCGUUAUGUUGAAUUUAAUAAAUUACAUUUUCAUUUAUCCACGGCUCCUUCGUUCCCUCCAGCAGCAUAUCGUGACAGAAGACCAACCUUCAAAAACCUUUCCCUAUUGGAGUAUGCAGUUGAGUUCAGCCAGCUUGCCAUUUUAACGGCAUUCGAUGCUGCGAUUGAACUCACUGUUCUGGAUUGGGACUACUACUAUUGUCCCGUCGACAUCCCAGUUACCGCUGGACUGAGCUGGAGGGAAGCCAUUAUCCGGUGUCUGGAGAGUGUCUAUCCCCGAUCACAAGCACAGCCAGACCCAGAGCCCAGCCCACCGUCUCCCUGCUGCACGGAGCACAAACCGGAGCCCACUGCUGAUAGAAAGCAAGAGCCCGUCGCGACCAACGAGCCAUCGCCAAGGAGUGUGACAGAGCUGAGGAGGAGCUCCGCCCCCUGCACCGUGGCUGAGGGUGAGCUAAUUACGGAUCUGGGACUGUGCAAUUCCAAAGCAGAAAGGGCUCCUGUUCCUGAGUUAAGCCCAGUGGCUCACAAAUGCCCGUACUCCUGCCUCCUCCACUGUUGUCUGGCAGCCCCUCUGUUUACCCUCAGCACACCAUCUGUACUGUGCGAGCUCCGCAGGUCUGCCAUCCUCCAUUGUCACCGUGGCUGGAGGAUCCCUGGUCUCCACCUCCAGCCUCGAUCCCAGAUUCUGUUUCCCCACCUCUUCCGCCUCAGUCGGUUGGCCCCCUGGAGUUGUCAGCCCUUCCUCCAUGGCUCCUCCCUCUGUCGGCUCCACUGUGGGUUGUCAUUAUGGCUGUGGCCUGAGUCCCACCUGGCACCCCAUGCUCCAAAUUCCUCCUGUCGUCUCCCUGGCUCCUCCCUCCUUAUCUGCCCUGGCUCUUCCUGUUUCCUGAUUGGCUCCUCCCUCCGUCGUCACCUCCCUGGACUCUUUCUGCCCAGCCCCCUCCCAGGUGUCCAUCCUCCUCCUGAUCCUUCCCCAGUUCCCACCCGUUCCCUCUCUCUGGUUUUACGGCACGAGGGCGCACCUCCCGGGAGGGGGGCAAUGUGUCAGGACCUGUCUGUGUGUCUUUGCUCCCCAUGUUCUCUCCUUGACCCAGUUUCUCCCUCAUGUGCCCUUAUUUGGUUGUUCCUGUCCUCAUUGUCUCAAUUAUUCAUUCUGUUCACCUGUGUUCCUCCCAAUUCCCUUGUUAUCCGGUGUAUUUAAGCCCCAGUCUGUUAAGUCUGUGUUGGUCGGGUCUUGUGUGUGUGUGUGUGUGUGUGUGUCUUCCUUCCCUUCCCUUCCCUUCCAAGUGUGGAUUUACCCUGUGUUGGAUUUAAUAAAUGAC
Cyprinus carpio carpio is the source of this 1353-nucleotide long non-coding RNA. The record is from Ensembl. Lineage: Eukaryota; Metazoa; Chordata; Actinopteri; Cypriniformes; Cyprinidae.